RNAcentral lists this ribosomal RNA (233 nucleotides) under uncultured Actinomycetales bacterium. RNAcentral's name for it is "partial 16S ribosomal RNA". It matches the Rfam family "Bacterial small subunit ribosomal RNA", at positions 97 to 334 of the family's 1533-position model. The record is from RNAcentral. Lineage: Bacteria; Bacillati; Actinomycetota; Actinomycetes; Actinomycetales.
GGCGAACGGGUGAGUAACACGUGGGUGAUCUGCCCUGCACUCUGGGAUAAGCCUGGGAAACUGGGUCUAAUACCGGAUAGGACCAUGCUUUAGUGUGUGUGGUGGAAAGUUUUUCGGUGUAGGAUGAGCCCGCGGCCUAUCAGCUUGUUGGUGGGGUAAUGGCCUACCAAGGCGGCGACGGGUAGCCGGACUGAGAGGGUGUACGGCCACAUUGGGACUGAGAUACGGCCCAG